CCUACGGGUGGCUGCAGUGGGGGAUAUUGGACAAUGGGGGAAACCCUGAUCCAGCGAUGCCGCGUGAGGGAAGAAGGUUUUCGGAUUGUAAACCUCUGUGGAGGGGGACGAUAAUGACGGUACCCCUUUAGGAAGCCACGGCUAACUACGUGCCAGCAGCCGCGGUAAUACGGAAGGUCCGGGCGUUAUCCGGAUUUAUUGGGUUUAAAGGGAGCGUAGGCCGCAUGUCAAGCGUGCUGUGAAAUGUCCGGGCUCAACCCGGGCCUUGCAGCGCGAACUGGCGUGCUUGAGUCCGCGGAAAGCAGGCGGAAUUCGUCGUGUAGCGGUGAAAUGCUUAGAUAUGACGAAGAACCCCGAUUGCGAAGGCAGCUUGCUGCAGCGGAACUGACGCUGAUGCUCGAAAGCGCGGGUAUCGAACAGGAUUAGAUACCCCGGUAGUC
RNAcentral lists this ribosomal RNA (440 nucleotides) under uncultured bacterium. RNAcentral's name for it is "partial 16S ribosomal RNA". It matches the Rfam family "Bacterial small subunit ribosomal RNA", at positions 338 to 795 of the family's 1533-position model. The record is from RNAcentral.